This 383-nucleotide long non-coding RNA is filed under the name Rattus norvegicus (Norway rat). Its description in RNAcentral is "long non-coding RNA NONRATT012680". The record is from RNAcentral. Lineage: Eukaryota; Metazoa; Chordata; Mammalia; Rodentia; Muridae.
CCGAGACUUCGUGGCGGCCAACUCGUUCAGCCCUUUCGUCUUCUGGCUGCUCUACUGCUUCCCGGUGUGUCUACAGUUCUUCACCCUCACGCUCAUGAACUUGUACUUCACGCAGGAUUGCUUCACCAGGGCAGUCUGGUGGCACACCCAACUCCGCAGUUGCAGGAGGCUUUUGACUUGCUAUCUGAGCUCAUCGGAGAAGCCCCAAGAAAUAAGCCAUAAAAUUGAACCUGGACUCUUUUACAGGACCAGCAGCUUCGUUUUAUGAGACCUGUAGUUAAUAAGCGAAAGGGUUGCACGAGGGCUCUUGCGGCUGUCUUAAUGAAAGUACAGUGAUUGCAGAAGGCUUUACAAGCACCGAGUAAAGCAUUUCUCAAACGCUU